Molecule: ribosomal RNA, 248 nt
Filed under: Vibrio sp. S234-5
Lineage: Bacteria; Pseudomonadati; Pseudomonadota; Gammaproteobacteria; Vibrionales; Vibrionaceae
Description: partial 16S ribosomal RNA
Rfam family: Bacterial small subunit ribosomal RNA
Source: RNAcentral
CCGGAUUGGAGUCUGCAACUCGACUCCAUGAAGUCGGAAUCGCUAGUAAUCGUGGAUCAGAAUGCCACGGUGAAUACGUUCCCGGGCCUUGUACACACCGCCCGUCACACCAUGGGAGUGGGCUGCAAAAGAAGUGGGUAGUUUAACCUUCGGGAGGACGCUCACCACUUUGUGGUUCAUGACUGGGGUGAAGUCGUAACAAGGUAGCGCUAGGGGAACCUGGCGCUGGAUCACCUCCUUAUACGAUA